Molecule: ribosomal RNA, 1552 nt
Filed under: Salmonella enterica subsp. enterica serovar Bareilly str. CFSAN000661
Lineage: Bacteria; Pseudomonadati; Pseudomonadota; Gammaproteobacteria; Enterobacterales; Enterobacteriaceae
Description: bacterial SSU rRNA
Rfam family: Bacterial small subunit ribosomal RNA
Source: RNAcentral
AAAUUGAAGAGUUUGAUCAUGGCUCAGAUUGAACGCUGGCGGCAGGCCUAACACAUGCAAGUCGAACGGUAACAGGAAGCAGCUUGCUGCUUUGCUGACGAGUGGCGGACGGGUGAGUAAUGUCUGGGAAACUGCCUGAUGGAGGGGGAUAACGACUGGAAACGGUGGCUAAUACCGCAUAACGUCGCAAGACCAAAGAGGGGGACCUUCGGGCCUCUUGCCAUCAGAUGUGCCCAGAUGGGAUUAGCUAGUUGGUGAGGUAACGGCUCACCAAGGCGACGAUCCCUAGCUGGUCUGAGAGGAUGACCAGCCACACUGGAACUGAGACACGGUCCAGACUCCUACGGGAGGCAGCAGUGGGGAAUAUUGCACAAUGGGCGCAAGCCUGAUGCAGCCAUGCCGCGUGUAUGAAGAAGGCCUUCGGGUUGUAAAGUACUUUCAGCGGGGAGGAAGGUGUUGUGGUUAAUAACCGCAGCAAUUGACGUUACCCGCAGAAGAAGCACCGGCUAACUCCGUGCCAGCAGCCGCGGUAAUACGGAGGGUGCAAGCGUUAAUCGGAAUUACUGGGCGUAAAGCGCACGCAGGCGGUCUGUCAAGUCGGAUGUGAAAUCCCCGGGCUCAACCUGGGAACUGCAUUCGAAACUGGCAGGCUUGAGUCUUGUAGAGGGGGGUAGAAUUCCAGGUGUAGCGGUGAAAUGCGUAGAGAUCUGGAGGAAUACCGGUGGCGAAGGCGGCCCCCUGGACAAAGACUGACGCUCAGGUGCGAAAGCGUGGGGAGCAAACAGGAUUAGAUACCCUGGUAGUCCACGCCGUAAACGAUGUCUACUUGGAGGUUGUGCCCUUGAGGCGUGGCUUCCGGAGCUAACGCGUUAAGUAGACCGCCUGGGGAGUACGGCCGCAAGGUUAAAACUCAAAUGAAUUGACGGGGGCCCGCACAAGCGGUGGAGCAUGUGGUUUAAUUCGAUGCAACGCGAAGAACCUUACCUGGUCUUGACAUCCACGGAAGUUUUCAGAGAUGAGAAUGUGCCUUCGGGAACCGUGAGACAGGUGCUGCAUGGCUGUCGUCAGCUCGUGUUGUGAAAUGUUGGGUUAAGUCCCGCAACGAGCGCAACCCUUAUCCUUUGUUGCCAGCGAUUAGGUCGGGAACUCAAAGGAGACUGCCAGUGAUAAACUGGAGGAAGGUGGGGAUGACGUCAAGUCAUCAUGGCCCUUACGACCAGGGCUACACACGUGCUACAAUGGCGCAUACAAAGAGAAGCGACCUCGCGAGAGCAAGCGGACCUCAUAAAGUGCGUCGUAGUCCGGAUUGGAGUCUGCAACUCGACUCCAUGAAGUCGGAAUCGCUAGUAAUCGUGGAUCAGAAUGCCACGGUGAAUACGUUCCCGGGCCUUGUACACACCGCCCGUCACACCAUGGGAGUGGGUUGCAAAAGAAGUAGGUAGCUUAACCUUCGGGAGGGCGCUUACCACUUUGUGAUUCAUGACUGGGGUGAAGUCGUAACAAGGUAACCGUAGGGGAACCUGCGGUUGGAUCACCUCCUUACCUUAAAGAA